This 253-nucleotide ribosomal RNA is filed under the name uncultured bacterium. Its description in RNAcentral is "partial 16S ribosomal RNA". It matches the Rfam family "Bacterial small subunit ribosomal RNA", at positions 524 to 776 of the family's 1533-position model. The record is from RNAcentral.
UACGUAGGGGGCAAGCGUUGUCCGGAAUCAUUGGGCGUAAAGAGCGUGUAGGCGGCCCGGUAAGUCCGCCGUGAAAGUCCAGGGCUCAACCCUGGAAUGCCGGUGGAAACUGCCGGGCUGGAGUCCGGAAGAGGCGAGUGGAAUUCCUGGUGUAGCGGUGAAAUGCGCAGAUAUCAGGAGGAACACCAAUGGCGAAGGCGGGUCUCUGGACAGUUCCUGACGCUGAGGCACGAAGGUCAGGGGAGCAAACGGG